CGCUGAUUGUGGCAACACAGGCAGUGAUCGAACAGGAAUCAGCAGAGGUCAUAGUAGGUGUAGGAAUACGUCAUUGAC
RNAcentral lists this non-coding RNA (78 nucleotides) under Desulfoluna spongiiphila. Lineage: Bacteria; Pseudomonadati; Thermodesulfobacteriota; Desulfobacteria; Desulfobacterales; Desulfolunaceae. The record is from RNAcentral.